GAGACAUUCGCAAGCGUCAAGCAAAAGAGACUUUUAAUCCCAAGGUCGAGGGUUCGACCCCCUCAGGGCGCACCA
Molecule: transfer RNA, 75 nt
Filed under: Olsenella sp. kh2p3
Lineage: Bacteria; Bacillati; Actinomycetota; Coriobacteriia; Coriobacteriales; Atopobiaceae
Description: tRNA_Pseudo_TTT
Source: RNAcentral